CAGAAGUUGGCCGUCUUGGAGUCUGGUAGAGGAGGGGUACAUUUCCAGGGCAAGCCGUGAAAAUGAGAAAAGUUUGAAGGGAAUACCGAAGGGGAAUCCGACCCCUUGUACAAAGACCUGCCGCUCAGGUGCGAAAGGAUGGGGAGCAAACAGGGAUAGCAUCCCCUGGAGGUCUCCCCCUAAACGCUGUCUCAUUAGAGGUUUGCCCCCUGAAGCGUGCCUCCCGGACUAACGCGUUAACUAGCCCUCCUGGGGAGAACGGCCCGCAAGGUUAAAACUAAUAUGAAUUGACGUGGGACGCACAAGCGGUGGAGCAUGUGGUCUAAUACGACGCAACGCGAAGACCCUUCUCUGUUCUUGACACCCACAGAAGAAGCAAGAGAUGGAUUUGUUCCUUCGGGAACUGUGAGACAGGUGCUGCAUGGCUGUCGUCAGCUCGUGUUGUGAAAUAAUGGGUUAAGUACCGCAACGAGCGCAUCCCUUAUCCUUUGUUGCCAGCGGUUAGGCCGGGAACUCAAAGGAGACUGCCAGUGAUAAACUGGAGGAAGGUGGGGAUGACGUCAAGUCAUCAUGGCCCUUACGACCAGGGCUACACACGUGCUACAAUGGCGCAUACAAAGAGAAGCGACCUCGCGAGAGCAAGCGGCCCUCAUAAAGUGCGUCGUAGUCCGGAUUGGAGUCUGCACCUCGACUCCAUGAAGUCGGAAUCGCUAGUAAUCGUGGAUCAGAAUGCCACGGUGAAUACGUUCCCGGGCCUUGCACACACUGCCCGUCACACCAUGGGAGUGGGUUGCAAAAAC
This 800-nucleotide ribosomal RNA is filed under the name Salmonella enterica subsp. enterica serovar Enteritidis. RNAcentral's name for it is "bacterial SSU rRNA". It matches the Rfam family "Bacterial small subunit ribosomal RNA", at positions 627 to 1424 of the family's 1533-position model. Lineage: Bacteria; Pseudomonadati; Pseudomonadota; Gammaproteobacteria; Enterobacterales; Enterobacteriaceae. The record is from RNAcentral.